CCUCCCGGGCCAGCCGCGGGCCGGGGCGAGGGAGGGCGCAUAAUAAACAGCAUCGUUUUCAUGCAGGCAGGGCUGCCGGCUCCCCAAGCCUCCUCCCCGCGAUAACAACCCAGCACCUGUUCCUGGGCUGGCACAGGACCAAGAAGACUUGCUAUUUAUGAUACCCCCAGAUGUGGCUCUGGAGCCCAAAUGCUGCUGUUGCUGAAAUGCAGUGAAUGAAUAAUGCUUCUAGUCUGCAGUGAAGAUAAUCAUAUACUAGAGCUGCAAAGAAAACUCAUCCUAUGGACAUGAAAGGAUGCAGCUCUUUUCCUCAUGAAUUGACUGCAAAGGAUAAAUGAGUUGCUAAGCUGUUGCAGGCCUGGAUGACAUAGAAGAUCCAACUCCCUCCUCUUUCUACUCUGCCAGAUCAUGUUAUAACUGAAAGUCCCUGUGAGAAGCUACAGAGGGAGAGAGGAUUCUCUGGGAACACAGGGAUUUAAUUUGAAGUCACAACAGUAUCAAAUAUCCCAUCUGAGAAGACUGUCCUUCCCUUCUCUAAAGCCAAGAUCAGCAAUAUUCUCCUUUAGGCCAAAAAUGACAAAGACAACUUCAUUACAGCUCAAGAGCUCUGCAGCUUUGACCCAUAUGAUGGACCAGAAUGAAGAAAUGUAUCAACUAAAGGAUACUUUGGUCCUGUUUUGUGUCCAGAAGAGACUCUUAUGUUCACUUCAUGUGAAAGAAGCAGAGAGAUAGAGGA
Catharus ustulatus (Swainson's thrush) is the source of this 736-nucleotide long non-coding RNA. RefSeq lists it as uncharacterized. NCBI's taxonomy places the organism in Eukaryota, Metazoa, Chordata, Aves, Passeriformes, Turdidae. The transcript has 4 exons. The record is from RefSeq and is a predicted model, not a curated record.